UACGUAGGGUGCAAGCGUUAAUCGGAAUUACUGGGCGUAAAGCGUGCGCAGGCGGUCGUGCAAGACAGAUGUGAAAUCCCCGGGCUUAACCUGGGAACUGCAUUUGUGACUGCAUGGCUGGAGUGCGGCAGAGGGGGAUGGAAUUCCGCGUGUAGCAGUGAAAUGCGUAGAUAUCAGGAGGAACACCGAUGGCGAAGGCAGCUCUCUGGCCUAUAACUGACGCUGAGGUGCGAAAGCGUGGGGAGCAAACGGG
This 253-nucleotide ribosomal RNA is filed under the name uncultured bacterium. RNAcentral's name for it is "partial 16S ribosomal RNA". It matches the Rfam family "Bacterial small subunit ribosomal RNA", at positions 524 to 776 of the family's 1533-position model. The record is from RNAcentral.